Molecule: long non-coding RNA, 604 nt
Filed under: Parus major (Great Tit)
Lineage: Eukaryota; Metazoa; Chordata; Aves; Passeriformes; Paridae
Description: lncRNA (ENSPMJG00000011444.1)
Source: RNAcentral
UCGUGGCUCUCGCAGCCGGCUCCGCUCCUGGCUCGGCUGCUCUUCGCGGGAGCGCUCUGACAGCACCUGCAGGACAGCGCGGGCACGCGGAGCCGGGAAGGGGAAUAAGAAGGGAGCAUAUUGACACACACUUGGCCCACACUGGCACCACACAGAGGCACACAGAAGCUCCUGUAACCUCUCUUCGUCACAUCUCACCUGAGCAGCCCAGCACAGCACUGCCAGUUCUCACAGGGCUCGCUCCAACACACAGCAAAAACGAAGGCACAAGAAAAUUUCCAGUCUGUGACUAUCUGGGAGCCUCCAGGGAUGGAAGGCCAGGAGGCAGGUUGGUACAGCAACCCAUGAGAGCUUGGGGAAACUCAAAGUUAUGCCUGAUUUGUAAGCAUUUUUGAGGUCCCAAAUAUUUAGCUGUGUUGCCUCAUGCUCCUUUUUGUGCAAAGUUAUGAAGACUCAGUACAGAUUCAUAGAUUAUGAGGCUUAAUAGAACCAUUGUGGCUUUUGGAUCUUGCAUAACCCAAGCCAUCAGCUAAAUUGGAAUUAAUUCCUGGUCAAACUAAAUAAUACUUUGUAGGAAAAAGAAAUAAAAUGAAAUCUAAUAACA